RNAcentral lists this ribosomal RNA (499 nucleotides) under uncultured bacterium. Its description in RNAcentral is "bacterial SSU rRNA". It matches the Rfam family "Bacterial small subunit ribosomal RNA", at positions 29 to 507 of the family's 1533-position model. The record is from RNAcentral.
ACGAACGCUGGCGGCGUGCCUAAUACAUGCAAGUCGAGCGGAAUGAUGAAGAAGCUUGCUUCUUCUGAUUUUAGCGGCGGACGGGUGAGUAACACGUGGGCAACCUACCUUGUAGAUUGGGAUAACUCCGGGAAACCGGGGCUAAUACCGAAUAAUCCAUUUUGCUUCAUGGCGAGAUGUUGAAAGACGGUUUCGGCUGUCACUACAAGAUGGGCCCGCGGCGCAUUAGCUAGUUGGUAGGGUAAUGGCCUACCAAGGCGACGAUGCGUAGCCGACCUGAGAGGGUGAUCGGCCACACUGGGACUGAGACACGGCCCAGACUCCUACGGGAGGCAGCAGUAGGGAAUCUUCCACAAUGGACGAAAGUCUGAUGGAGCAACGCCGCGUGAGUGAAGAAGGUUCUCGGAUCGUAAAACUCUGUUGUAAGGGAAGAACACGUACGAGAGUAACUGCUCGUACCUUGACGGUACCUUAUUAGAAAGCCACGGCUAACUACGUG